AGUAACGGCGAGUGAAGAGGGAAAAGCUCAAAUUUUAAAUCUGCCUUGUUUCAAGGUCGAGUUGUAAUUUGAAGAAGCGUUUUCUUGGGCUCGCGGCCGGUAGAAGUUCUUUGGAACAGGACAUCAUAGAGGGUGACAAUCCCGUCUGCGACCGGUCGUGUGUUCAUCUACGAUACGCUUUCAAAGAGUCGAGUUGUUUGGGAUUGCAGCUCCAAAUGGGUGGUAAACAUCACCUAAGGCUAAAUAUUGGCGAGAGACCGAUAGCGAACAAGUACCGUGAGGGAAAGAUGAAAAGAACUUUGAAAAGAGAGUUAAACAGUACGUGAAAUUGUUGAAAGGGAAACGAUUGAAG
Molecule: ribosomal RNA, 352 nt
Filed under: Entrophospora claroidea
Lineage: Eukaryota; Fungi; Glomeromycota; Glomeromycetes; Entrophosporales; Entrophosporaceae
Description: partial 28S ribosomal RNA
Rfam family: Eukaryotic large subunit ribosomal RNA
Source: RNAcentral